UUCUCUUUCUCUCUCAUCCUUUUUAACUCUCUUUCUUUCUCUCAUUUUUCUCCUUCUCUAUCUUUCUUGAUCCAUUUUCUUUUUGUUGUUCUUCUUCUUCCUUCUCUACCUCUUUCGCUCUCUUUUGUUAUUUUGGUAUCACACCGAAACAAGAAUGGUGUUCCAAUCGGUUGACGGUGAUGCAUCUCUUGGAUUGAGAUUUUAGGGUUUCAAACCGCGAAUCGGUUUACAUGCUUUCAUUGAUGUUUGAUUAGAACGAGCAGAUUCAGAUCAACUAUGGAAAGAAAAUUCUUCUGUAGAUAAUAUAUCUGAUUCAGAUCAUCUGUGGCUUUGGUGUUUUGCUUGAAUCAAUUGUUUUACUGAUUUUAUGAUUCUUUUGUUUUUUCAGUUUAAAGAUUUCGCAAAUGAUCCCAAACUGGCUCUGGCUCUAGCUCUGGCUCUGUAUCUAUCAUAGUCUACGGGGAUUACGACAAACCAACCUUAUUAAUUAUACAGAUUUAGCGAUAAACUAACACAGCGCCGAGACUGAUGACGGGGAUGCAUGGAUGGCAAGCCGUGGUCUUUAGGAUAUCAUGCCACAAAGCUUACUUCUCUGGCUGUGGAUUCUAUGGUGCACGGGCUACACUUUGAGUUGAAUCCGGUUUUAUUGAGUUAUGCAGGUUCGGUUUAGUAAGCAGGUCGGUUCAGUUUGUGUUGUUGCCAUCUCUUGCUGCUUUUGUUAUCGGUAACAAUAAUCCCAUAAUGCAUAAAUCAUGCCCGCCUAUGGUGUUAGGCUAUUUUAAUUUCCUCUCAACUUGUGCAUUUUAAUAUGCAUUACAUUUUAGCAUGAAAGUGUCAUGCCAUGUCUAGAUUUUCUACUCACUUUCUAUGAUGCCAAGAGUACAUUUGAGGAAAGAGAGGACAUAAGGCAGCGUCGAAGGACGAAAUAUGUUGAAUGGAAGGAAGAAUGUUGUCAAUUAUUUCCGCUUGUGGGAAGUGGUAGAUUUGUCACAGCACCUGUAGUUACUAACGAUGGUCAACCGAUUUAAGAUCUAAUUGUAUCGAGCGUAUGCUACGCAAAUUAGGGAUAACAACAUCGGAUGAUGAGAUUGUUCAAACCGAUGCCUUCAACAAAUACUCCAACCUGAUACCGCACGAAUCACAGAGCCAUCUCUGACGACAAAAGAUAAGUUUAUCACAUAUCUAUUUUUCAGAUUAGUCAUAAUUGGCUUGGGUAACAAAGACACAAUACCAGGGGAGAAAUUGAUUGUGACAGGUUGGGUUCAGAAGUUGAAGGUACAUAUUACCAUUAAUUGCAAAUAUAUACUAUUAUUGAUAAAUGCUUAUGAUCUCUUUGAAUUUGAAUUUUGCUCUUUGCAUAACAUUUUUUGUACAUUUGUUUCUCAUGUAUCUCUAUAUGCAAUGUUGAUACUGAUAUCCAGUCUGGCGUGAUUGCGACAGAAAGAAUUUGACAUCCUGAUUUGCAUUUUAUAACCGGUAAUUAACAGUGGACGUAAAAUUUUAUAUAAAAAUUUUAUUCAUUUUACCAUGGCUUUGUCUCUUAUGAAUGACCCCCCGCUGUUUUGUUUCCACCACUGUUGUGCUGCUUAACUGACGUUGUUGUUCUGUGCCAAAUGUUGUUCUUGUGUGGCACCGUUCCCGUGCGACGUUGUUCCUGUGUUCAUGCAAGAGAAACUUUUCGUGUGUGAUCUAUUGGGAUGCAGACUGGAAGAGAACUUGAGCUAUCAAUUGAUGAAUGAUGUCCUUUACUGUACUUGAUAAUUCGGGCUCUCGACGAAGGUCCCUGCAUGGAUGUUGUAAUCUUUCCUCUACAUGGUUCUUUGCCACCUGAAUUGCA
Molecule: long non-coding RNA, 1837 nt
Organism: Vicia villosa (hairy vetch)
Lineage: Eukaryota; Viridiplantae; Streptophyta; Magnoliopsida; Fabales; Fabaceae
Exons: 4
Source: RefSeq, a predicted model, not a curated record